Molecule: ribosomal RNA, 364 nt
Filed under: Arion subfuscus
Lineage: Eukaryota; Metazoa; Mollusca; Gastropoda; Stylommatophora; Arionidae
Description: partial 16S ribosomal RNA
Rfam family: Bacterial large subunit ribosomal RNA
Source: RNAcentral
AACGGCCGCAGUACUUUGACUGUGCUAAGGUAGCAAAAUAAAUUGGCUUUUAAUUUAAGUCGAGUAUGAAUGGCGUCAUGGGUGUAAGCUGUCUCAGUUAAUUAUUUUUAUGAAUUUAACCUGUAGGUGAAAACGCCUACGAAUAAAUAUUAGACGAGAAGACCCUUAGAGUUUUUAAUAUGUAGUACUGUAUUAUUCAUAUUCUUUUUUGUUGGGGCGACAAAGUAUCAUAUAAAGCAUACUUAAUUAAUAAAGACAAGUCUUCCUUAAAAAUGAGUAUAACUACCUAAGGGAUAACAGCAUAAUUUUUUUUUAAGAUUGUGACCUCGAUGUUGGACUAGGGACUUAAUAUAUUAGCCAUAUA